RNAcentral lists this ribosomal RNA (253 nucleotides) under uncultured bacterium. RNAcentral's name for it is "partial 16S ribosomal RNA". It matches the Rfam family "Bacterial small subunit ribosomal RNA", at positions 524 to 776 of the family's 1533-position model. The record is from RNAcentral.
UACAGGGGGUGCAAACGUUGCUCGGAAUUAUUGGGCGUAAAGCGCGCGUAGGCGGCUACCUAAGUCGGAUGUGAAAGCCCCUGGCUCAACUGGGGAAGUGCACCCGAAACUGAGUAGCUAGAGUGCAAAAGAGGGUCGCGGAAUUCCCGGUGUAGAGGUGAAAUUCGUAGAUAUCAGGAGGAACACCGGUGGCGAAGGCGGGUCUCUGGGCCGAUACUGACGCUGAGGAGCGAAAGCGUGGGGAGCGAACAGG